CCCAUGGUCUUUCCUCUUGUCAGUGAGGCUCAUCCAGUAUGCAGGACAGGUGAUGCUGUCAGGGUCUCUCACUAUUGAGUGGUCUAGAAUGAGUUAUUUCCUACGGGACAGGGUCUUGCUAUGCAGCGCAAGCUGGCUUUGAACCAGGGGCCAGGAGAGAAACGUUCCAGAGACAGAGCUGACACGGAGAGGGGAAGGAAAAGGAAGAGGGGAGGAAAGGCGAACAAAGGGAAGAAAGAAAAGAC
This is a long non-coding RNA of Fukomys damarensis (Damara mole-rat), 245 nucleotides long. RefSeq lists it as uncharacterized. The transcript has 4 exons. The record is from RefSeq and is a predicted model, not a curated record. Lineage: Eukaryota; Metazoa; Chordata; Mammalia; Rodentia; Bathyergidae.